RNAcentral lists this ribosomal RNA (468 nucleotides) under uncultured bacterium. RNAcentral describes it as "partial 16S ribosomal RNA". It matches the Rfam family "Bacterial small subunit ribosomal RNA", at positions 28 to 507 of the family's 1533-position model. The record is from RNAcentral.
GACGAACGCUGGCGGCGUGCUUAACACAUGCAAGUCGAACGGAAAGGCCCUGCUUUUGUUGGUUGCUCGAGUGGCGAACGUGUGUGUAACACGUGAGGAACCUGCCCUUGACUGUGGGAUAACUUCAGGAAACUGGGGCUAAUACCGGAUAGGAGCUCCUGCUGCAUGUUGUUGGUUGGAAAGUUUCGGCGGUAGGGGAUGGUCUCGCGGCUUAUCAGCUUGUUUGUGGGGUAGUGGCUUACCAAGGCUAUGACGGGUAGGCGGCAUGAGAGUGUUACAGGCCACGAUGGGCCUGAGAGACGCCACAGACUCGUACGUGCGGCAGUAGUGGGGAAUAUUGCACAAUGGGGGGAAGCCUGUUGCAGAAACCCCGCGUGCGGGAAGCCGGCCUUUGGGUUGUAAACCGAUUUCGCCUGUGACGAAGAGUGCUUGACGGUAAUGGGUAAAGAAGCAACGGCUAACUACGUG